RNAcentral lists this long non-coding RNA (366 nucleotides) under Homo sapiens (human). RNAcentral describes it as "non-protein coding lnc-PNRC1-3:1". The record is from RNAcentral. Lineage: Eukaryota; Metazoa; Chordata; Mammalia; Primates; Hominidae.
AUUUUUUUCCCAUCCAGACAACCUAGAGAAACCCAAAAAAGAGGGAAGCCAAGCGCCUUUCCAUGCGUAGAUUGCCCGCCACUUCCGUUAAGGCAUCUAUUUUACUGAUGAAAAGAGGCCUUCUGAGCGUUACCACAGCUCAAGCUUGGCGUCCCAGCCGGAUCUAGGUUUGAUUUGCAAUUAGGGAAAGUUGUUCAAGGGAACAAGUCUUAGGAGAAUUCUAAGGACAUGAGAUUGGAGUACCAGAAAUGGGGAAUUUUUCUUUUGUCCCAAGUUUCUACUACUCUGUGAGAAGAAAAAUAGAUGCUCACAGACAGACCAACAUGAUUCCUCCCCCGCUUCCUGGAACCCCUGACACCCUCCCAG